GCGCUUCAUCACCAGCCCUUCCAUGCCCUUUGGUCCCAGGUCGUGGAUGAACGACAGCUGACUUACUCCAAUGAACUCCAUCGUUCCAUGGUAGUUCCUGUACAUGGGCAUCUUUAGGAUCUUUGACAGGUAGUCUUCCAGCUGUUUCCUGCGGCUGGAGAAGUGCUCCUCCCGCACCGUGCUCUCGGCUGUGUGUGGAAGGCUGGGCAUCUGCCGUGGCUCUCCCCUCUUGAUGGAUUGUCUUCUCACCGUGUGGCUCCUGGUGGGGAUGGGGAUGCGCACAAAGGCUUUGUAGCGCAGCAGCUCCCGGUGGAACUCCUGGAAGUGCCUGAACUUCCUCUUCACAUGCCAUGUGAACUCCCCGUGGGUCAGCUCGAUGGUGUACACGUUGAGGCUUGGGACCUUCUUGGUGGAAGUGAAGCGCUCCACCUCCAGCACACGCA
Molecule: long non-coding RNA, 443 nt
Filed under: Gallus gallus (chicken)
Lineage: Eukaryota; Metazoa; Chordata; Aves; Galliformes; Phasianidae
Source: RNAcentral